This 497-nucleotide ribosomal RNA is filed under the name uncultured bacterium. Its description in RNAcentral is "partial 16S ribosomal RNA". It matches the Rfam family "Bacterial small subunit ribosomal RNA", at positions 28 to 507 of the family's 1533-position model. The record is from RNAcentral.
GAUGAACGCUGGCGGCGUGCCUAAUACAUGCAAGUCGAGCGAACGGACGAGAAGCUUGCUUCUCUGAUGUUAGCGGCGGACGGGUGAGUAACACGUGGAUAACCUACCUAUAAGACUGGGAUAACUUCGGGAAACCGGAGCUAAUACCGGAUGAUAUUUUGAACCGCAUGGUUCAAAAGUGAAAGACGGUCUUGCUGUCACUUAUAGAUGGAUCCGCGCUGCAUUAGCUAGUUGGUAAGGUAACGGCUUACCAAGGCAACGAUGCAUAGCCGACCUGAGAGGGUGAUCGGCCACACUGGAACUGAGACACGGUCCAGACUCCUACGGGAGGCAGCAGUAGGGAAUCUUCCGCAAUGGGCGAAAGCCUGACGGAGCAACGCCGCGUGAGUGAUGAAGGUCUUCCGAUCGUAAAACUCUGUUAUUAGGGAAGAACAUAUGUGUAAGUAACUGUGCACAUCUUGACGGUACCUAAUCAGAAAGCCACGGCUAACUACGUG